RNAcentral lists this ribosomal RNA (711 nucleotides) under uncultured bacterium. RNAcentral's name for it is "bacterial SSU rRNA". It matches the Rfam family "Bacterial small subunit ribosomal RNA", at positions 60 to 760 of the family's 1533-position model. The record is from RNAcentral.
AGUCGAGCGGCAGCGGAAAGUAGCUUGCUACUUUGCCGGCGAGCGGCGGACGGGUGAGUAAUGUCUGGGAAACUGCCUGAUGGAGGGGGAUAACUACUGGAAACGGUAGCUAAUACCGCAUGACCUCGAAAGAGCAAAGUGGGGGAUCUUCGGACCUCACGCCAUCGGAUGUGCCCAGAUGGGAUUAGCUAGUAGGUGAGGUAAUGGCUCACCUAGGCGACGAUCCCUAGCUGGUCUGAGAGGAUGACCAGCCACACUGGAACUGAGACACGGUCCAGACUCCUACGGGAGGCAGCAGUGGGGAAUAUUGCACAAUGGGCGCAAGCCUGAUGCAGCCAUGCCGCGUGUGUGAAGAAGGCCUUAGGGUUGUAAAGCACUUUCAGCGAGGAGGAAGGCAUCACACUUAAUACGUGUGGUGAUUGACGUUACUCGCAGAAGAAGCACCGGCUAACUCCGUGCCAGCAGCCGCGGUAAUACGGAGGGUGCAAGCGUUAAUCGGAAUUACUGGGCGUAAAGCGCACGCAGGCGGUUUGUUAAGUCAGAUGUGAAAUCCCCGCGCUUAACGUGGGAACUGCAUUUGAAACUGGCAAGCUAGAGUCUUGUAGAGGGGGGUAGAAUUCCAGGUGUAGCGGUGAAAUGCGUAGAGAUCUGGAGGAAUACCGGUGGCGAAGGCGGCCCCCUGGACAAAGACUGACGCUCAGGUGCGAAAGC